GCAAAAUAUUUAAGCAAGGAAGCUAAGUCUUAACUAGAAACUCAUUUAAUUUCAUUCAUUUAUUUAAAAAAAAUUGGCAAGGCAAUUUACAUCGGAUUAUAAAUUCAUCAAAGCGAACUAUUUGCAUGCAAAUAUCUUUAUAGAUUAAGAUAAAUGGAUAUUAAUUGAAUUAUUAUCCAUAUUUGAAUAGUUAUAUAAUAUUGCAUUAAUCAUAGCUAGGAAUUGAAUCAUUAUAUACUUUAAAAUGGGUACGAACCAAAAUGUGGUCACUUUUUACCUAUUUCACUGCAUUAUUCCCUUUAAAAACACUGAGCAAAUGUUGGGAAAAAUCUCUGCAAAGUAUGCCACGAUUUGAAAAGGAAUCCAAAACUACUAUAUUACUGCAAAUUGGGGGAAGCCCCAAACCUUUCCCAACACCAAGGGCUCUAGCUACUUAACCCGCCUCACUAAUCAGUAAAAUACCCUCAGUUGGAUUGAAAAGGAUCGCAUUGCACCACCCACCGACCAUCGACCACCGACCACCGACCACCAGUGCAUCACAACCACCCGGCGGGGCGGCGACCUGUUGAGUUGACAACUUGUUCGCACUUCAUCCACUCGGAACCACCACACCUGACCUACGGACGGGAUCUUUGGCAAAAGCACCACCUAGUCGGUCCGGGGGCAGUGUCCCGCAUUCCGCUCCACACAACCCCAGCAGCACUCAUUCUCCACCCACAAAAAAAUUGAGGGGAGACCCGGCACUCUGCAAGGAUAAAGUGUGCUCCAGGCGGAAAAUACUGCAUCACCUGCACGCCGAGUCCUUAAUUCGAACAUCUCGCUCGUUCAGGACAGCUGGCUGGGUGGCACAGCGGCAGACCGGCCUUUUUGGAACCGACAGAUGUCUGUCGAUGUCGGCCGUAAAAUGCAAUGGUCGCUCGCGGGCAGGCAGUCCAACGAGUUGCAGCCGGCUCUGAGGUAUUGAGCUAUUGAGGCAUUGAGCAGAACCAAGCUGAAAGGACGAUGGCUACGAAGGGAUCGAGAAAGAGACUACGUAGCUGGCCUGCUGUUGCAUUGAUUACUCUUCACGGACGGAACACAAACGGAGCGGUCGUUAACAUCUGGCUCGUUUUGCCCUGCUCCUCGUUCAACGAUCCUCGCCUUGGCAUGUGCCACGAACCAAAGGACAUCUGCCAGCUGCACAAAGGGGCCCCCAACUAUUCUAUCUAGCUCUGCUAUAAAUUUUCAGUUCUUCAGCACUGUAAUGCGCUCUUUUUUUUUGCGAGCAGGGACCACGAAAAGCUAAUUAAACACGAAGUAUAUGGGGCGAUUCCAACUCGUUUUUGAUGAAUGACAUCCUUUGUCCUGGCGCAGUUGCAAUGCAGUUACAUGUUUUUUGCGGUGACACCAUUCAACACAAGGAAAGGUACCUUUUUUCGGGGAAAAUGUAAUAAAUCAAUCAUAACAGCCUUACUUUUGCAAUGAGUUCGUUUUGUCUAAAUUCACACAAACCAAACGUACAAAACGAGAACCCAAUAUAUACGCUUUUUAAACCUACAUAUAUCCAAAAUGUAAUAGAUCAUAACUCAAUUGA
Molecule: long non-coding RNA, 1573 nt
Organism: Drosophila santomea
Lineage: Eukaryota; Metazoa; Arthropoda; Insecta; Diptera; Drosophilidae
Exons: 2
Source: RefSeq, a predicted model, not a curated record